AUUGAACGCUGGCGGCAGGCCUAACACAUGCAAGUCGAGCGGAUGAAGGGAGCUUGCUCCUGGAUUCAGCGGCGGACGGGUGAGUAAUGCCUAGGAAUCUGCCUGGUAGUGGGGGAUAACGUCCGGAAACGGGCGCUAAUACCGCAUACGUCCUGAGGGAGAAAGUGGGGGAUCUUCGGACCUCACGCUAUCAGAUGAGCCUAGGUCGGAUUAGCUAGUUGGUGGGGUAAAGGCCGACCAAGGCGACGAUCCGUAACUGGUCUGAGAGGAUGAUCAGUAACACUGGAACUGAGACACGCUCCAGACUCCUCCGGGAGGAGCCAGUGGGGAAUAUUGGACAUGGGGGGAAGGCCUAAUCCAGCCAUGCCGCGUGUGUGAGGAAGGUCUUCGGAUUGUAAAGCCCUUUAAGUUGGGAGGACGGGCAGUAAGUUAAUACCUUGCUGUUUUGACGUUACCUACAGAAUAAGCACCGGCUAACUUCGUG
This 484-nucleotide ribosomal RNA is filed under the name uncultured bacterium. RNAcentral describes it as "partial 16S ribosomal RNA". It matches the Rfam family "Bacterial small subunit ribosomal RNA", at positions 30 to 507 of the family's 1533-position model. The record is from RNAcentral.